UGUGUAGGUGGAAAAGUAAGUGUUUUGUGAAAUCCCUCGGCUCAACCGAGGAAUUGCUUGGCAUACUGCUUUUCUUGAGGCAAGUAGGGGUACGUGGAACUCUUGGUGGAGCGGUGGAAUGCGUAGAUAUCAAGAGGAACGCCGAUGGUGAAGACAACGUACUGGGCUUGUCCUGACACUGAGACACGAAAGCGUGGGGAGCAAACAGGAUUAGAUACCCUGGUAGUCC
This 229-nucleotide ribosomal RNA is filed under the name uncultured bacterium. RNAcentral's name for it is "partial 16S ribosomal RNA". It matches the Rfam family "Bacterial small subunit ribosomal RNA", at positions 568 to 796 of the family's 1533-position model. The record is from RNAcentral.